GUUACAGCAGCCGCGGUAAUACAGAGGGGGCGAGCGUUAUUCGGAAUUAUUGGGCGUAAAGGGCGCGUAGGCGGCCGUGUAAGUCUCGGGUGAAAUCCCUCGGCUCAACCGAGGAACUGCCUUGGAUACUGCAUGGCUUGAGGCCGGGAGAGGGUAGUGGAAUUCCCAGUGUAGCGGUGAAAUGCGUAGAUAUUGGGAGGAACACCGGUGGCGAAGGCGGCUACCUGGACCGGUUCUGACGCUGAUGCGCGAAAGCGUGGGGAGCAAACAGGAUUAGAAACCCUUGUAGUCC
RNAcentral lists this ribosomal RNA (292 nucleotides) under uncultured bacterium. RNAcentral's name for it is "partial 16S ribosomal RNA". It matches the Rfam family "Bacterial small subunit ribosomal RNA", at positions 505 to 796 of the family's 1533-position model. The record is from RNAcentral.